Scylla paramamosain (green mud crab) is the source of this 595-nucleotide long non-coding RNA. RefSeq lists it as uncharacterized. Lineage: Eukaryota; Metazoa; Arthropoda; Malacostraca; Decapoda; Portunidae. The transcript is spliced from 3 exons. The record is from RefSeq and is a predicted model, not a curated record.
GAGGUCCCCGGCGAGGAGCGGCAGCCCUGCCAGGGUCUUCUUUAAAUUGAGUGUGCAGGGCGGCGGUGCCUCAAUGCCCCGCAGCUCCUGUGUGUCGAGAGGACCUGCAGUCCUGCACGCUGCCAGCCAGGAUGAGGGCCCAGGCGGUGCUAGUGGCGAUGCUGUUGGCGGUGCUGCUGCUGGCGGCGGUGGCGGCAGCUUUCCCACAGGGGCAGGAGUGCAGGAAUGCAUUGCUUUGGGAUACCGAAUGUGGCACGUGUUACUGUCUUGAGGGAAGGCCUAAAUGCUUCCCGGAGCACUGCAACUCUGCAGGCUAGCCCCUCGAGAGACCAGUGCGGGCUGCCAGAGCCUUCCUGUACCGCCGCUGACUCCCUUGGCCCCCGGGGAGUGUGUCCUGUGGCGGGGCUCACGGAGAGGCCAGUGUGGGGACGUGCUCGUGGGCCUCGCACUGCACGACACACUUGCCCUCGCCGCUUCACUGUCCCCGCCGCCGCUCGUCUGUAACCUUGUCUGUAACCAAUACUGAUGCAGGAAGAGAGUCACGUAUAAUUGUCUCGUGUUAGCAGUUCCGUCAAAUAAAACAUUCAGUAGAUAA